GCCUUCGUGGCGUAGUGGUCAGCACGCUCGGCGCGUAUUCGAGAGGUCCAUGGUUCGAGUCCCGGCGACGGCA
RNAcentral lists this transfer RNA (73 nucleotides) under Stegodyphus mimosarum. It matches the Rfam family "tRNA". From Rfam's summary of the family: Transfer RNA (tRNA) molecules are approximately 80 nucleotides in length. Their secondary structure includes four short double-helical elements and three loops (D, anti-codon, and T loops). Lineage: Eukaryota; Metazoa; Arthropoda; Arachnida; Araneae; Eresidae. The record is from Rfam by way of RNAcentral.